UGGGUUACACAGGUAUUUGUUUACGUCU
Molecule: non-coding RNA, 28 nt
Filed under: Rattus norvegicus (Norway rat)
Lineage: Eukaryota; Metazoa; Chordata; Mammalia; Rodentia; Muridae
Source: RNAcentral